GACGAACGCUGGCGGCGUGCUUAACACAUGCAAGUCGAACGGAAAGGCCCUGCUUUUGUGGGGUGCUCGAGUGGCGAACGGGUGAGUAACACGUGAGUAACCUGCCCUUGACUUUGGGAUAACUUCAGGAAACUGGGGCUAAUACCGGAUAGGAGCUCCUGCUGCAUGGUGGGGGUUGGAAAGUUUCGGCGGUUGGGGAUGGACGCGCGGCUUAUCAGCUUGUUGGUGGGGUAGUGGCUUACCAAGGCUUUGACGGGUAGCCGGCCUGAGAGGGUGACCGGCGACAUUGGGACUGAGAGACGGCCCAGACUCCUACGGGAGGCAGCAGUGGGGAAUAUUGCACAAUGGGCGGAAGCCUGAUGCGGCAACGCCGCGUGCGGGAUGACGGCCUUCGGGUUGUAAACCGCUGUCGCCUGUGACGAAGCGGGAGUGACGGUAAUGGGUAAAGAAGCACCGGCUAACUACGUG
Molecule: ribosomal RNA, 468 nt
Filed under: uncultured bacterium
Lineage: Bacteria
Description: partial 16S ribosomal RNA
Rfam family: Bacterial small subunit ribosomal RNA
Source: RNAcentral